This 460-nucleotide ribosomal RNA is filed under the name uncultured bacterium. RNAcentral's name for it is "partial 16S ribosomal RNA". It matches the Rfam family "Bacterial small subunit ribosomal RNA", at positions 338 to 795 of the family's 1533-position model. The record is from RNAcentral.
CCUACGGGGGGCUGCAGUGGGGGAUAUUGGUCAAUGGGCGCGAGCCUGAACCAGCCAAGUAGCGUGAAAGAUGACUGCCCUACGGGUUGUAAACUUCUUUUAUAAAGGAAUAAAGUGAGGCACGUGUGCCUUUUUGUAUGUACUUUAUGAAUAAGGAUCGGCUAACUCCGUGCCAGCAGCCGCGGUAAUACGGAGGAUCCGAGCGUUAUCCGGAUUUAUUGGGUUUAAAGGGAGCGUAGAUGGGUUGUUAAGUCAGUUGUGAAAGUUUGCGGCUCAACCGUAAAAUUGCAAUUGAUACUGGCAGCCUUGAGUACAGUUGAGGUAGGCGGAAUUCGUGGUGUAGCGGUGAAAUGCUUAGAUAUCACGAAGAACUCCGAUUGCGAAGGCAGCCUACUAAACUGCCACUGACAUUGAUGCUCGAAAGUGUGGGGAUCAAACAGGAUUAGAUACCCCUGUAGUC